Molecule: ribosomal RNA, 562 nt
Filed under: uncultured bacterium
Lineage: Bacteria
Description: bacterial SSU rRNA
Rfam family: Bacterial small subunit ribosomal RNA
Source: RNAcentral
CCUACGGGAGGCAGCAGUGGGGAAUCUUGCGCAAUGGGCGAAAGCCUGACGCAGCCAUGCCGCGUGAAUGAUGAAGGUCUUAGGAUUGUAAAAUUCUUUCAGUAGGGACGAUAAUGACGGUACCUACAGAAGAAGCCCCGGCUAACUUCGUGCCAGCAGCCGCGGUAAUACGAAGGGGGCUAGCGUUGCUCGGAAUUACUGGGCGUAAAGGGAGCGUAGGCGGGUUAUCAAGUUGGAGGUGAAAGCCCAGGGCUCAACCUUGGAAUAGCCUUCAAAACUGAUAACCUAGAGGAUGGAAGAGGUAAGUGGAACUCCGAGUGUAGAGGUGAAAUUCGUAGAUAUUCGGAAGAACACCAGUGGCGAAGGCGACUUACUGGUCCAUUACUGACGCUGAGGCUCGAAAGCGUGGGGAGCAAACAGGAUUAGAUACCCUGGUAGUCCACGCUGUAAACGAUGAUUGCUAGUUGUCGGCAGGCAUGCCUGUCGGUGACGCAGCUAACGCAUUAAGCAAUCCGCCUGGGGAGUACGGUCGCAAGAUUAAAAACUCAAAAGGAAUUGACGG